GAGACCGGCGCACGGGUGCGUAACGCGUAUGCAAUCUACCUUUUACAGAGGGAUAGCCCAGAGAAAUUUGGAUUAAUACCUCAUAGUAUUAUGAAAUGGCAUCAUUUUAUAAUUAAAGUCACAACGGUAAAAGAUGAGCAUGCGUCCCAUUAGCUAGUUGGUAAGGUAACGGCUUACCAAGGCUACGAUGGGUAGGGGUCCUGAGAGGGAGAUCCCCCACACUGGUACUGAGACACGGACCAGACUCCUACGGGAGGCAGCAGUGAGGAAUAUUGGACAAUGGGCGCAAGCCUGAUCCAGCCAUGCCGCGUGCAGGAUGACGGUCCUAUGGAUUGUAAACUGCUUUUAUACGAGAAGAAACACUACUUCGUGAAGUAGCUUGACGGUAUCGUAAGAAUAAGGAUCGGCUAACUCCGUGCCAGCAGCCGCGGUAAUACGGAGGAUCCAAGCGUUAUCCGGAAUCAUUGGGUUUAAAGGGUCCGUAGGCGGUUUAAUAAGUCAGUGGUGAAAGCCCAUCGCUCAACGGUGGAACGGCCAUUGAUACUGUUAAACUUGAAUUAUUAGGAAGUAACUAGAAUAUGUAGUGUAGCGGUGAAAUGCUUAGAGAUUACAUGGAAUACCAAUUGCGAAGGCAGGUUACUACUAAUGGAUUGACGCUGAUGGACGAAAGCGUGGGUAGCGAACAGGAUUAGAUACCCUGGUAGUCCACGCCGUAAACGAUGGAUACUAGCUGUUGGGAGCAAUCUCAGUGGCUAAGCGAAAGUGAUAAGUAUCCCACCUGGGGAGUACGUUCGCAAGAAUGAAACUCAAAGGAAUUGACGGGGGCCCGCACAAGCGGUGGAGCAUGUGGUUUAAUUCGAUGAUACGCGAGGAACCUUACCAAGGCUUAAAUGUAGAUUGACCGGUUUGGAAACAGAUCUUUCGCAAGACAAUUUACAAGGUGCUGCAUGGUUGUCGUCAGCUCGUGCCGUGAGGUGUCAGGUUAAGUCCUAUAACGAGCGCAACCCCUGUUGUUAGUUGCCAGCGAGUCAUGUCGGGAACUCUAACAAGACUGCCAGUGCAAACUGUGAGGAAGGUGGGGAUGACGUCAAAUCAUCACGGCCCUUACGCCUUGGGCUACACACGUGCUACAAUGGCCGGUACAGAGAGCAGCCACUGGGCGACCAGGAGCGAAUCUAUAAAACCGGUCACAGUUCGGAUCGGAGU
RNAcentral lists this ribosomal RNA (1206 nucleotides) under Flavobacterium sp. ICM 1065. Its description in RNAcentral is "bacterial SSU rRNA". It matches the Rfam family "Bacterial small subunit ribosomal RNA", at positions 91 to 1304 of the family's 1533-position model. Lineage: Bacteria; Pseudomonadati; Bacteroidota; Flavobacteriia; Flavobacteriales; Flavobacteriaceae. The record is from RNAcentral.